Molecule: non-coding RNA, 96 nt
Filed under: bovine gut metagenome
Source: RNAcentral
AUGUGGGGAGCUGGGAAAACCCGGCUGAGAGGACGGCCAAUUGCCGUCGACCCAUUGAACCUGAACGGAUAAUGCCGACGAAGGGAGAGUGAUUUA